AUGUUCCUAAGGUUGUCCCAGAAGCCCAAGACCUCAGAAUUAUUUAGACGUGAGACAUCUCCAUGGACACGUCAUUGUGACAGUGAAGGUGCUCCAAAGAGACACUGUGACUCUGCUUCUCUCAGCCACUGUCAAAAGCUGUGUGCAGAUCUGAAAGUGCGACAGGGAUCAAUGGGAAUCCAAUGUGGACAAAAAGGUACCCUGGUUAAAUUCAAAGUGAGUUUCAUAAACUGAUUUUAGAAACUGUUUUUCUUUUAAAACAUAUCUUUCAAACAAGAUCACAGUUUUGAAUUUGCAGUAAUGACAUCACGAAAGAUAGAACUGCAGCCAAUAUUUCUGAUAGGGAAAAUAUAUAUAUAAAUGGUAAAUUUAUACUACCCUGACAGAAGAAGGCUUCUCAAGUGCAGAGUUUGGAUUAACAGUAACUGACAGAAAAAAUGACUUUUUAACGCACAGAUUUUAAGAUCACUUUAUGGGAAAAGAUGAUACUAAAACCCAUGGCAAUCAUGCAUAGAUUACUUCUGAAACUUGCAUGUAUUCCCAGUAAGUCCUCUCUAGAUUCCAUUUACCCUUUUUCUACUUAGCUUCCUAUCUGUAUAUGCCCCAGUAGAAAGAAAUCUUCUAGACGUUUACUGGCACAACUUUCUAAUUAGGUUUAUUGAUAAUUAAUCUGGAUAAAUCCAUGUGCAAAAACAUCUCAUUAUCAUUCUUUUAAAGCAUGAUAUAGGGUGUUUGUUUAUAGAUAUUUUUCCAUUUCAUGUUUUCUGCUCUGUGCAUGCUAUAGUGAGACUGUGGGUAUAGCUUCGUUAAAUUUUCAAGUCAGUCUGUGCUUUAAAGAAAUUAGUGCUUGAUAUAUAUGGCUGCAUUGAUGCUGACAUUUGCCAUUUGUACAUGAAGAUGUUAUGACUGUAAGAAAUAUUUUUACACAAAUAUUUUUGUUUACAAUGGCACAAUUUUUAUCAUUUCUGUGUCUUUUUUUUUUCCUAGUUACUUUCCGAUUCUUGUCCAAGCAUACUGCUCAGUGGCAGGAGGAAUAACAUAUAGCUUGCAGACCAUCAUCUGCAUUCUCUUUGCAUUAGGUGUAACACUGGCAUGAAAAUCAGAGCCCUUGCUCCAAUUUUUCCAGCUGUCUCUGUCUCCCUGUGAUCUUUUUGUACAAAU
This 1161-nucleotide long non-coding RNA is filed under the name Anas zonorhyncha (Eastern spot-billed duck). Its description in RNAcentral is "lncRNA (ENSAZOG00000013976.1)". Lineage: Eukaryota; Metazoa; Chordata; Aves; Anseriformes; Anatidae. The record is from RNAcentral.